RNAcentral lists this small nuclear RNA (163 nucleotides) under Propithecus coquereli (Coquerel's sifaka). RNAcentral's name for it is "U1 spliceosomal RNA (ENSPCOG00000000177.1)". It matches the Rfam family "U1 spliceosomal RNA". Rfam says of the family: U1 is a small nuclear RNA (snRNA) component of the spliceosome (involved in pre-mRNA splicing). Its 5' end forms complementary base pairs with the 5' splice junction, thus defining the 5' donor site of an intron. Lineage: Eukaryota; Metazoa; Chordata; Mammalia; Primates; Indriidae. The record is from Rfam by way of RNAcentral.
GUACUUACCUGGCAGGGGGAUACCAUGAUCACAAAAGUGGUUUUCCCAGGGUGAGCCUUAUCCAUUGCACGCCAGAUGUGUUGACUGCUGCGAUUUCCCCAAAUGGGGAAACUUGACUGCAUAAUUUGUGGUAGUGGGGGAAAUACAGUCACGCUCUCCCCUG